GACAGAGGGUGCAAACGUUGUUCGGAAUUACUGGGCGUAAAGGGCGCGUAGGCGGCCUGCUAAGUCGAACGUGAAAUCCCCGAGCUCAACUCGGGAACUGCGUCCGAUACUGACAGGCUUGAAUCCGGGAGAGGGAUGCGGAAUUCCAGGUGUAGCGGUGAAAUGCGUAGAUAUCUGGAGGAACACCGGUGGCGAAGGCGGCAUCCUGGACCGGCAUUGACGCUGAGGCGCGAAAACUAGGGGAGCAAACGGG
This 253-nucleotide ribosomal RNA is filed under the name uncultured bacterium. RNAcentral describes it as "partial 16S ribosomal RNA". It matches the Rfam family "Bacterial small subunit ribosomal RNA", at positions 524 to 776 of the family's 1533-position model. The record is from RNAcentral.